UACGUAGGGGCCGAGCGUUGUCCGGAGUUAUUGGGCGUAAAGCGCGCGCAGGCGGCCUCGCGCGCCCGACGUGAAAGCCCCCGGCUUAACCGGGGAGGGUCGUUGGGGACGGCGGGGCUUGAGGGCGGGAGAGGUCGGUGGAAUUCCCGGUGUAGUGGUGAAAUGCGUAGGGAUCGGGAGGAACACCUGUGGCGAAGGCGGCCGACUGGGCCGACCCUGACGCUGAGGCGCGAAAGCUAGGGGAGCAAACGGG
This 253-nucleotide ribosomal RNA is filed under the name uncultured bacterium. RNAcentral's name for it is "partial 16S ribosomal RNA". It matches the Rfam family "Bacterial small subunit ribosomal RNA", at positions 524 to 776 of the family's 1533-position model. The record is from RNAcentral.